Molecule: ribosomal RNA, 312 nt
Filed under: Pseudomonas putida
Lineage: Bacteria; Pseudomonadati; Pseudomonadota; Gammaproteobacteria; Pseudomonadales; Pseudomonadaceae
Description: bacterial SSU rRNA
Rfam family: Bacterial small subunit ribosomal RNA
Source: RNAcentral
AUGNCAGCCCUACCAUGCNAGUCGAGCGGAUGAAGAGAGCUUGCUCUCUGAUUCAGCGGCGGACGGGUGAGUAAUGCCUAGGAAUCUGCCUGGUAGUGGGGGACAACGUUUCGAAAGGAACGCUAAUACCGCAUACGUCCUACGGGAGAAAGCAGGGGACCUUCGGGCCUUGCGCUAUCAGAUGAGCCUAGGUCGGAUUAGCUAGUUGGUGAGGUAAUGGCUCACCAAGGCGACGAUCCGUAACUGGUCUGAGAGGAUGAUCAGUCACACUGGAACUGAGACACGGUCCAGACUCCUACGGGAGGCAGCAGA